Molecule: ribosomal RNA, 424 nt
Filed under: uncultured archaeon
Lineage: Archaea
Description: partial 16S ribosomal RNA
Rfam family: Archaeal small subunit ribosomal RNA
Source: RNAcentral
CUACGGGUCGCUCCAGUCGAGUAACUUUUACAAUGCGCGCAAGCGUGAUAGAGCAAGCCAGAGUGCUUUUCCGUAUUGGAAAAGCUUUUGUGAGAUGUAAAUAAUCUUGCGAAUAAGGACUGGGCAAGACUGGUGCCAGCCGCCGCGGUAAUACCAGCGGUCCAAGUCGCAGCCACGUUUAUUGGGUCUAAAACAUCCGUAGCUUGCUGAGCAAGUCUCUUGUAAAAUCUGGCCUCUUAAGGGUCAGGCAGGCAUGAGAUACUGCUUGGCUAGAGACCGGGAGACGUAAGGAGUACAGUUUGGGUAGCGGUCAAAUGCGUUGAUCCUUACUGGACUAACAAUAGCGAAGGCACCUUAUGAGAACAGUUCUGACUGUGAGGGAUGAAGGCUAGGGGCGCAAAACGGAUUAGAUACCCUCGUAGUC